This 22-nucleotide small nuclear RNA is filed under the name Arabidopsis thaliana (thale cress). RNAcentral's name for it is "snRNA_13171". Lineage: Eukaryota; Viridiplantae; Streptophyta; Magnoliopsida; Brassicales; Brassicaceae. The record is from RNAcentral.
UGGAAAAGUGUUUAUUCUUUGU